GCCAGCAGCCAAAUCACCCUGCAACUCACAGCUGGCAGCCCACUGGAGCUCAGCAGGUGUGAGCCUGGUCAGUACCUGGAUGGGAGACCUCCUGGGAAAAUCUAAGGUUGCUGCUGGAA
This 119-nucleotide ribosomal RNA is filed under the name Lepisosteus oculatus (spotted gar). The record is from RNAcentral. Lineage: Eukaryota; Metazoa; Chordata; Actinopteri; Semionotiformes; Lepisosteidae.